RNAcentral lists this long non-coding RNA (394 nucleotides) under Mus caroli (Ryukyu mouse). RNAcentral describes it as "predicted gene 43480 (MGP_CAROLIEiJ_G0034586.1)". Lineage: Eukaryota; Metazoa; Chordata; Mammalia; Rodentia; Muridae. The record is from RNAcentral.
CCGACUGAAGGGUUUAAUGAAAGCCCAGAAGUUGCUGCUUGGCUCAGUCCCCUUGUGUACAAAAGAUACACCUGGGUACAGUCCUGGCCUCGGCAGCUUCUGGGAAAAGAUGGGGAGGGACACAGUCAUCAGGUGACGGGGCUUUGUAAAUGGCUGCAGAGGAAGACUGCUCAGGAGAUCAGGCCAGUGAGGUACGAGUCUUCCCGCUCCCCAGGCCUGGCUGACCCCUGCCUCCACAGUCAGCAGCACCUUCCUUCCCUUCAAGGACUGACCCUCCACAGUAGUUCCACCAGUGAAAUCAGGCUGCAGGUGGUAGGUGAGACCUGGGGGCUGUUGGCAGGGUGUUAUUUGUCUCCCAUUAGACAAAAAAUAAAUAUAUUCUUUGAGAAUUUCA